RNAcentral lists this ribosomal RNA (468 nucleotides) under uncultured bacterium. Its description in RNAcentral is "partial 16S ribosomal RNA". It matches the Rfam family "Bacterial small subunit ribosomal RNA", at positions 28 to 507 of the family's 1533-position model. The record is from RNAcentral.
GACGAACGCUGGCGGCGUGCUUAACACAUGCAAGUCGAAUGGAAAGGCCCUGCUUUUGUGGGGUGCUCGAGUGGCGAACGGGUGAGUAACACGUGAGUAACCUGCCCUUGACUUUGGGAUAACUUCAGGAAACUGGGGCUAAUACCGGAUAGGAGCUCCUGCUGCAUGGUGGGGGUUGGAAAGUUUCGGCGGUUGGGGAUGGACUCGCGGCUUAUCAGCUUGUUGGUGGGGUAGUGGCUUACCAAGGCUUUGACGGGUAGCCGGCCUGAGAGGGUGAACGGCCACAUUGGGACUGAGAUACGGCCCAGACUCCUACGGGAGGCAGCAGUGGGGAAUAUUGCACAAUGGGCGGAAGCCUGAUGCAGCAACGCCGCGUGCGGGAUGACGGCCUUCGGGUUGUAAACCGCUUUCGCCUGUGACGAAGCGUGAGUGACGGUAAUGGGUAAAGAAGCACCGGCUAACUACGUG